GUGCCAGCCGCCGCGGUAAUACGAAGGGAGCUAGCGUUGUUCGGAAUUACUGGGCGUAAAGGGCGCGUAGGCGGCUCUUUUAGUCAGGCGUGAAAGCCCCGGGCUUAACCUGGGAACAGCGUUUGAUACUGGAGAGCUUGAGUGUGGGGGAGGUUGGUGGAAUUCCCAGUGUAGAGGUGAAAUUCGUAGAUAUCGGGAGGAACACCAGUGGCGAAGGCGGCUCUCUGGACAGGUACUGACGCUGAGACGCGAAAGCGUGGGUAGCAAACAGGAUUAGAUACCCCUGUAGUCC
Molecule: ribosomal RNA, 292 nt
Filed under: uncultured bacterium
Lineage: Bacteria
Description: partial 16S ribosomal RNA
Rfam family: Bacterial small subunit ribosomal RNA
Source: RNAcentral